RNAcentral lists this ribosomal RNA (503 nucleotides) under uncultured bacterium. RNAcentral describes it as "partial 16S ribosomal RNA". It matches the Rfam family "Bacterial small subunit ribosomal RNA", at positions 30 to 523 of the family's 1533-position model. The record is from RNAcentral.
AUUGAACGCUGGCGGCAGGCUUAACACAUGCAAGUCGAGCGGGGUGAUGGUGCUUGCACUAUCACUUAGCGGCGGACGGGUGAGUAAUGCUUAGGAAUCUGCCUAUUAGUGGGGGACAACAUCUCGAAAGGGAUGCUAAUACCGCAUACGUCCUACGGGAGAAAGCAGGGGAUCACUUGUGACCUUGCGCUAAUAGAUGAGCCUAAGUCGGAUUAGCUAGUUGGUGGGGUAAAGGCCUACCAAGGCGACGAUCUGUAGCGGGUCUGAGAGGAUGAUCCGCCACACUGGGACUGAGACACGGCCCAGACUCCUCCGGGAGGCAGCAGUGGGGAAUAUUGGACAAUGGGGGGAACCCUGAUCCAGCCAUGCCGCGUGUGUGAAGAAGGCCUUAUGGUUGUAAAGCACUUUAAGCGAGGAGGAGGCUACCGAGAUUAAUACUCUUGGAUAGUGGACGUUACUCGCAGAAUAAGCACCGGCUAACUCUGUGCCAGCCGCCGCAGUAA